Molecule: long non-coding RNA, 1568 nt
Filed under: Homo sapiens (human)
Lineage: Eukaryota; Metazoa; Chordata; Mammalia; Primates; Hominidae
Description: HSALNT0380981
Source: RNAcentral
CACCCCUGCACCAGCCCCUCACCCUGGCCAUGAGGGUCCCUCUGUCCCUGGAGCUCCGGCCUCCUUUUAGUGCCCAUCUCCUUAGCCUGUCCCUUUCUUUCAGGUGACUCUGCCUCCCCCCAUUUGCUGAGGCCUCCUCCCUCCUUCUCCAAGACAGGCCCUGCUCCUCUUCCCCACCUGCCGUCUUAGUCCCACAUCUGGGCUCUGUUGGCUGGUUAACCAUCGAUCUUGCCUGGUAAAUAAUUCAGGGCCUCUGUUUCCUCAUCUGUGAAAUGAAAAGCCUAAGAGAACGCUAAGAUUCUUUUGGCCUAGAAUCCUGUGAGUCUCUCUUAUGACAGACAGUGACAUUUUCCACCCCAGUAGGGACCUGGAUUGCUACUGCCAUGGCCAGCUGGGUGCUCUCCAAGUCAGGGGUGCUGUGCGAGGAGGGCGUGGCUUCUGCUCCUCUGUGUCCCAGCCACUCCUCCUGUACUCAGGCCCCAGCUCCUCUGUUCUGCCCAGUGGCCUGGCGCAGGAAAGGUGACCCAGUAGUUCAGCCUGUCCCAGCUGCCUGCCCCAGCACCAUCCCAGACCCCUUUCCCUGGGGCCCACCUUGGCCCUGAGGAAGGCCAGAGCUCGGCUGCUGUUCUCCAGGAAGUGCACACGCAGGCGGCCCCGGCUCGGGGGUGGCAGGGCCUCCCCUGAGAUGAGCUCCAGCAGCCGCAGGAGGUGGAUGCCGUCAGCCAGCUCUGUGUACAGGUUCCGGAUCUUGAUGCCCGCCUGGGGAGGGGACAGGGUGCAGCUCUGCUCGUGCCUGUGAAGCCUCCCACAGCCUGGGAAGGAAAAUCCAGACUUGCCAGACCUUGCCUCAGCCAGGCCUUGGAAGCCUGCCAGCUUACCUAACCAGGCUAGUCUGCCCCCCUCACUCUGGGUGCUCUCCAUGGGCCACUCACCAUUUCCUGAGCAGGACCAGAGCUCUCCUGCCCCAAGGCUGGGCUUCAGCUGCUCUUUCAGCUUUGAACGUCCUUUCCCAUUCUCCAUCAUCCACAUUCACCUAUCCUGCCUGCCCCAGUUAAAAUCCUGUUUCUUCUAGGAAGUCCCUCAUCCCACCCGCUUACCCCAGGGAGACUGAGCUUGUUCCUUCUCCUAGUAAGACCCUCAGCCCAUGGAGUCCUGUGUGAUGUUGUGAGCGUGGGAGGACAGACUGAACUGCUCGGCCCGUGGAGUCCUGUGUGAUGUUGUGAGCGGGGAGGACAGACUGAACUGCGUGGUGCUUCGCACAUAGACCUCAACAGGGAUUGGCAUUUUGAAGCUGUUGGCGGGGGCUGUGGACUGCUUUUCUUCCUUUCUAGCUCAACGGCAGCUAAAGCCACUGCAUACAAUGCAAGGACUGGCUCCUGUUUGGCCACGACUGAUUGCAGCCCCUGGUGAAAUGAGAACCCUGUGGGUCGGAACAAAGUUUGGAUUAUUUAUGUUGCAAGUAACUAAAAUCUCAAGUGAAACUGGUUUAAACAUUAUAUUUUUAUUAUUUAUUUAUUUAUAUUUAAUUCUUUUUUAGAGACAGGGUCUUCUUAGGUUGCCCAGGCUGG